Molecule: long non-coding RNA, 1404 nt
Filed under: Equus caballus (horse)
Lineage: Eukaryota; Metazoa; Chordata; Mammalia; Perissodactyla; Equidae
Description: lncRNA (ENSECAG00000047167.1)
Source: RNAcentral
GUAAGUUACCCUAUUCUGUUCAAAAGGAGGGGGACUGGGGAACUUGAUUCCCUGUGUUUUGGAACAGCUGUUACGAAACAAGGCCCCUCAGAGUUAAGAUGUCUUAGGGAAUCUAGAGGCAAAGAUGGAUUCCACCUGGUCUAAAAGUCUUUCUCUACCUCCCGGAAAAGCUCUUGCUUCCUCUAUGUAUACUCACUAUCAGCCAGGAUCUUGUGUUAAGUCUACCUUAGUCAAGAUCCUGUACUUGGGCAAUUAUUGGGCCUCACCUAAUAAAGGCAACACCUUGAUAUCCUUCUUCUCCCUAUGGUUACUCUAUGGGAGUAGCCUUUUGUUAGAACACAGAAAGGUUGAGAAACCAUGAUUGUGACCCUAAGAUAUAUCAAGUGGACCAGAGUGAGCAGAAACUCCAGUAGUUAAAUACCUGAAGAGAAACACAAAUUAGAUGAGGGACUUGAAAUUGCCAGUGUUUUGGAAGAAACUGCUGGGGAAAGAAAAGAUGCCCCUUGUGGACAUGGGCCACCAAGCUGACUGGGGUUGUAAUGAAAAAACACCUGUGGAAUCUGGUACAGGAAACACGAUAGAUUGACUAAAACUAAGAGAAAAAUGUUGAAGGAAAGAAGAGAAAAUGUACACCCAAAAUGUGAGUCAGAGGUAAAAAUUGAUACGUGGUAAGCCAGUAGCAUGCUGAAGAAAAAUCAUACUUGUCAAGUGAGCUUCAGGACAAGGAAUCUGGAAAUCCAAACAGGAAUCUGCGGGCUGAAUAAUCACUUGACUUCGGUAAAACUUGUUUGACAUCCUGUAGAAGACCGCUUCCCACUCCCCUUGUCAUGAUAGGAGCCAAUCAACUGGACGCAGAAACAAGGAGCGGUGCUCUCAUUUGAAGUGUAGAAAUCAACGCCGACUGUAAUGCUCUAUAAAGGUGGAUACCCUUCCUUUUUCCCUUGAUAAUUUCUCUCUAUGAAUACAGCCUGAGAAAAGAGCUAUUAUACUCUUUUCUUGUAUAUUUGCUUACUGUGUCCAGACUUAUGUUCUAAAUAUAAAGUAGUAAACCCUAAAUAUUUGUUUCUAAAUAUGAAAAUCUAUGCCUCAACUUAGAGUAGCACUGUAUUAGAGCUGGAAAGAGCCUUAGAGUUAAUCUAUUAAAACCAACUUAUUUUAGAGAUGAAUAAAAUGUCCAGAUAAUUUAAUGCGUUGUGUGGACUAGCAGUCCAGAAGUCCCGAUAGAUAAAACAUACACAGUAGGUGCUUCAAUCCUUGUUGACCAGGGUUAAGAUUUCUCUAAUAGACUCUAAGAAGGCAAAUCCAAGGUUGUCGUGAAUAUAGGAAAAGCAAAGGAAAUAGGUGGACACGCCUUUGGGAUCUUUGAAGAACCUAUGCCCUUCACUUUAUACUAGUUCAAUCGCU